UACGUAGGGGGCAAGCGUUAUCCGGAUUUACUGGGUGUAAAGGGAGCGUAGACGGCAUGGCAAGUCAGAUGUGAGAGCCCGGGGCUCAACCCCGGGACUGCAUUUGAAACUGUCAGGCUGGAGUGCAGGAGAGGUAAGCGGAAUUCCUAGUGUAGCGGUGAAAUGCGUAGAUAUUAGGAGGAACACCAGUGGCGAAGGCGGCUUACUGGACUGUAACUGACGUUGAGGCUCGAAAGCGUGGGGAGCAAACAGG
RNAcentral lists this ribosomal RNA (253 nucleotides) under uncultured bacterium. Its description in RNAcentral is "partial 16S ribosomal RNA". It matches the Rfam family "Bacterial small subunit ribosomal RNA", at positions 524 to 776 of the family's 1533-position model. The record is from RNAcentral.